This 333-nucleotide unclassified non-coding RNA is filed under the name soil metagenome. RNAcentral's name for it is "partial contains 5.8S ribosomal RNA, internal transcribed spacer 2, and large subunit ribosomal RNA". The stretch from base 4 to 121 matches the Rfam family "5.8S ribosomal RNA", at positions 37 to 154 of the family's 154-position model. The record is from RNAcentral.
GAUUGAAGAACGUAGCGAAAUGCGAUAAGUAAUGUGAAUUGCAGAAUUCAGUGAAUCAUCGAAUCUUUGAACGCACAUUGCGCCCGCCAGCAUUCUGGCGGGCAUGCCUGUCCGAGCGUCAUUUCAACCAUCAAGCCCCGGGCUUGUGUUGGGGACCUGCGUCCGACGCAGGCCCUGAAAACCAGUGGCGGGCUCGCUGUCCACGCCGAGCGUAGUAACUCACCUCGCUGCGGAGUGGCGCGGGCGCCUGCCGUGAAACCCCCGACCACCAAAGGUUGACCUCGGAUCAGGUAGGAAUACCCGCUGAACUUAAGCAUAUCAAUAAGCGGAGGA